Molecule: ribosomal RNA, 546 nt
Filed under: uncultured bacterium
Lineage: Bacteria
Description: bacterial SSU rRNA
Rfam family: Bacterial small subunit ribosomal RNA
Source: RNAcentral
ACGCAAUAGAUACCCGGGUAGUCCAUGCCGUAAACGUUGGGCACUAGGUGUGGGGGACAUUCCACGUUUUCCGCGCCGUAGCUAAACGCAUUAAGUGCCCCGCCUGGGGAGUACGGCCGCAAGGCUAAAACUCAAAGGAAUUGACGGGGGCCCGCACAAGCGGCGGAGCAUGCGGAUUAAUUCGAUGCAACGCGAAGAACCUUACCAAGGCUUGACAUGAACCAGACCGGGCUGGAAACAGUCCUUCCCCUUGUGGGUUGGUUUACAGGUGGUGCAUGGUUGUCGUCAGCUCGUGUCGUGAGAUGUUGGGUUAAGUCCCGCAACGAGCGCAACCCUCGUUCUAUGUUGCCAGCACGUGAUGGUGGGGACUCAUAGGAGACUGCCGGGGUCAACUCGGAGGAAGGUGGGGACGACGUCAAAUCAUCAUGCCCCUUAUGUCUUGGGCUUCACGCAUGCUACAAUGGCCGGUACAAAGGGUUGCGAUACUGUGAGGUGGAGCUAAUCCCAAAAAGCCGGUCUCAGUUCGGAUUGGGGUCUGCAACUCGA